GACGAACGCUGGCGGCGUGCUUAACACAUGCAAGUCGAACGGAAAGGCCCUGCUUUUGUGGGGUGCUCGAGUGGCGAACGGGUGAGUAACACGUGAGUAACCUUCCCUUGACUUUGGGAUAACUUCAGGAAACUGGGGCUAAUACCGGAUAGGAGCUCCUGCUGCAUGGUGGGGGUUGGAAAGUUUCGGCGGUUGGGGAUGGACUCGCGGCUUAUCAGCUUGUUGGUGGGGUAGUGGCUUACCAAGGCUUUGACGGGUAGCCGGCCUGAGAGGGUGACCGGCCACAUUGGGACUGAGAUACGGCCCAGACUCCUACGGGAGGCAGCAGUGGGGAAUAUUGCACAAUGGGCGGAAGCCUGAUGCAGCAACGCCGCGUGCGGGAUGACGGCCUUCGGGUUGUAAACCGCUUUCGCCUGUGACGAAGCGUGAGUGACGGUAAUGGGGAAAGAAGCACCGGCUAACUACGU
RNAcentral lists this ribosomal RNA (467 nucleotides) under uncultured bacterium. RNAcentral's name for it is "partial 16S ribosomal RNA". It matches the Rfam family "Bacterial small subunit ribosomal RNA", at positions 28 to 506 of the family's 1533-position model. The record is from RNAcentral.